RNAcentral lists this ribosomal RNA (252 nucleotides) under uncultured bacterium. RNAcentral describes it as "partial 16S ribosomal RNA". It matches the Rfam family "Bacterial small subunit ribosomal RNA", at positions 524 to 776 of the family's 1533-position model. The record is from RNAcentral.
UACGGAGGAUGCGAGCGUUAUCCGGAUUUAUUGGGUUUAAAGGGCGCGUAGGCGGAAUAUCAAGUCAGCGGUAAAAAUUCGGGGCUCAACCCCGUCGUGCCGUUGAAACUGAUGUUCUUGAGUGGGCGAGAAGUAUGCGGAAUGCGUGGUGUAGCGGUGAAAUGCAUAGAUAUCACGCAGAACUCCGAUUGCGAAGGCAGCAUACCGGCGCCCAACUGACGCUGAAGCACGAAAGCGUGGGUAUCGAACAGG